RNAcentral lists this ribosomal RNA (216 nucleotides) under Escherichia coli. Its description in RNAcentral is "partial 23S ribosomal RNA". It matches the Rfam family "Bacterial large subunit ribosomal RNA", at positions 1 to 217 of the family's 2925-position model. RNAcentral also lists the same sequence under 2 other names. The record is from RNAcentral. Lineage: Bacteria; Pseudomonadati; Pseudomonadota; Gammaproteobacteria; Enterobacterales; Enterobacteriaceae.
GGUUAAGCGACUAAGCGUACACGGUGGAUGCCCUGGCAGUCAGAGGCGAUGAAGGACGUGCUAAUCUGCGAUAAGCGUCGGUAAGGUGAUAUGAACCGUUAUAACCGGCGAUUUCCGAAUGGGGAAACCCAGUGUGAUUCGUCACACUAUCAUUAACUGAAUCCAUAGGUUAAUGAGGCGAACCGGGGGAACUGAAACAUCUAAGUACCCCGAGGA